Dermacentor silvarum is the source of this 1872-nucleotide long non-coding RNA. RefSeq lists it as uncharacterized. The record is from RefSeq and is a predicted model, not a curated record. NCBI's taxonomy places the organism in Eukaryota, Metazoa, Arthropoda, Arachnida, Ixodida, Ixodidae. The transcript has 2 exons.
UGCACGUCAAAGCUCACCUCGUUUGCCACAUCUUGAUUAGUCAGGAAUUAACGUAACCAUCACAUCAUGAACCAUGCAAGGAUUAAGCUAAUGCACCUGCAGACAGUUUCAUCAAAGCUUGCUUAAAUCCUUAGUAUGCCAAACAAUAGCAGUGUAAGCAAAAACUAACAAGAAAGGAAACAUUACACAAGUAGUGAGAUCUUUGCACAACAAGCUAUCAGUACAUGGUAAAAUUUAUGUACAAACCGCAUGAAUGAUUUAACAUGAUGAAAUUGUUGGUCAGUUAUUAUAUCAAAUUGCUUACUACUAGUAUAUAUAAAAGCUUUCGUACAUUUUUUUCUAUGUGUGCGAGUUCACGUAAAUGGCAUUUAUCAAGUACCCAAAGCUUACUUUUAUUAUUAUCAAACUACUUGCAAUAGUAUUACCUGAAGUGUAUGCCACUGCUAUGGCUUUCUUAUCAACCACAACCUAACAAACACGAAACCCUAUCGCAACUCUAUGUUUAAAGUUCUGGGGUACUGACUGUAUCAGCAAGCUGUGCAUUUCAUUUUGAUCACUUCAGCUCUUUUGCUUGACAACAGUAAUACAGUAUCUGCAAGAAGCAGCAUGGCAAGAUAAACAUUUAUCAAGAAAAGACAGGAACUUGACAAGCUCUGUCAUUUAAACUUUGAGGAUUCACUUAGUAACAAGAAAGAUUAAUUAAGCUGGUUGAUUCUGUAUGAUUCUGCACGACUUUCGAAGUUGAGAUGCGAGUCUGGUUUUUUUUCAGCAUUGCUAUUGUACAAGCACAAUAAUUUGUGCGUGUAUGACGAGUGAAGAUGUGGCAAACGAAAGUGCAAAAACAAGUUGCAUUUAUCUCAAUAUAACCAAAGUGACCCACUUUUGGUUGCUGCAUACUGUACGCACCAGACCUGCACAUUUUCUGUUAGACAAUUCUACAAACUCCUUUUCUUUUACGAGUUACACAUAAAGUAAAAAAAAAUAGCAUAUAAUCGUCUUUUCUGGUCAUUCAUCAAAUGAUUUCUUGCAUUGCAAUCACAGUGUGGUGUAGCCCUUGUGCAACAAGAAAGUUAUCUUUGCAUUGUUGUGUUCUAAUUUCUUUGUGACCAACAAGUGCAACCUUCCGUCAAACAAUGUUUAGUUGUAAUGGCUGCUCUACAUUAAUUACUAAGUCAUCCUGCCAUACUGUCCAAGAUUACAUUUUUAUUCCGUUAAUUCUUUUAUUAAAUCGUUCAUUAGUUUCCUGCAGCACCUGUGCGAAAUUACUGCAAAUGAGUGAAUACGGAUACAGAAUAAAAGCAUGGUCAAAAAAGGUUCCCUCGUAAUAAGAGUAUCAUGCGCCGCUACAAAGAAGCACCUUAAGAUACAUUCGGUGGAUUACACAGAAUCACAGGAUUACAAUUUGCGCAGCUAUUACAGCGCAAGAAAUUGUGUGCGUGUGUGUGUGUGUUGACAAGACAGCCUUCCUAAAACACUAUAGAACUUUAGCAGGUCAGGAGAGAACACAGCAACAACCAAAUGAGAAAAAAAAAUGCAUGCAGAUCUCCCAAAGCCUUGUCAAUCCAGCCCAACAGCACUGCCACAAAUGAUUGGUCAUAAUUACAGAGGAACACGGAUGGCUUCAAAGGGCCUGUCUUCAGCAUUAAGACAUUGAGCUAAUCAGUGAUCCCUAAUGCAUAAUAAUAGGGCAAGGUCAUUAACAUUCUUUUAUCCUGAUUUUUUUUUCCUUUGACAUAGACAAAAUAAUCAUGAAACUGUUUUGCAAUAGUAGAAUUUUUGCUUGACAUGCUUGAUCAAGGUCACCAAGCAACAUGUUAAUUCCUACAGUCAAGUGCAGCUCAAUUCUUUUUGCAUCCUUAAUUCCUAAUACAC